GCGCUUGUAGCUUAAUUGGAUAAAGCUCUGGUUUCCGGAACCAGUGAGUGCCAGUUCAAAUCUGGCCAAGCGCA
This 74-nucleotide transfer RNA is filed under the name Candidatus Woesebacteria bacterium RIFCSPHIGHO2_01_FULL_41_10. Its description in RNAcentral is "tRNA-Arg". It matches the Rfam family "tRNA". Rfam says of the family: Transfer RNA (tRNA) molecules are approximately 80 nucleotides in length. Their secondary structure includes four short double-helical elements and three loops (D, anti-codon, and T loops). Lineage: Bacteria; Candidatus Woeseibacteriota. The record is from RNAcentral.